Molecule: long non-coding RNA, 562 nt
Organism: Pseudophryne corroboree (corroboree frog)
Lineage: Eukaryota; Metazoa; Chordata; Amphibia; Anura; Myobatrachidae
Exons: 3
Source: RefSeq, a predicted model, not a curated record
UCCACAAACUCGAGUUAUGAUUAGGUGAAAGAAUAAUCUAACAUAUGUACUAAUGUGGACUAUAUCUGUUUUUCAGGUGAUGGGGGUUACGGCUGCUACUCUUGGCUCCUUACUCCAUUGUCCCAACCUGAUUCUCCUGCUGAACACAGUUACAAUCAUGCACAUAAGGCUACGCGGAAUGUGAUAGAAAGAUGUUUUGGUGUGCUGAAGUCACGGUUUCGGUGUCUGGAUAAAUCUGCUGGCCUUUUGUUGUAUAGUCCCUCAAAGAUAACUGAGGGGAUCGGGGCUCAUCACUCUGCGAACUCGCCAAUAGUGCCAGUGGUGGCUGGGGUGACACUGCCGAAAGUCGUCGCCUGGGUGGGGAUGAUGGAGCCGCAGAUUCCGAGCCAAGACGCCGUGUCUUACUUGGCCUCCUGGAAUAUGUGACUACACUGAAGUCUUACCUGCAAUCCCAGCCUCAUCCUGACUUGUCUGAGGCCUGUCUGGCCGGCUGGUCUGUGGGACUGUUGAAAAAGUGUACCAAACAUUAUUACCAUGCUUUGUGUAAAAAAAAACCCUGCAA